This 305-nucleotide ribosomal RNA is filed under the name uncultured bacterium. Its description in RNAcentral is "partial 16S ribosomal RNA". It matches the Rfam family "Bacterial small subunit ribosomal RNA", at positions 508 to 807 of the family's 1533-position model. The record is from RNAcentral.
ACAGCAGCCGCCGCGGGAAUACGUAGGGUGCAAGCGUUAAUCGGAAUUACUGGGCGUAAAGCGUGCGCAGGCGGUUAUAUAAGACAGAUGUGAAAUCCCCGGGCUCAACCUGGGAACUGCAUUUGUGACUGUAUAGCUAGAGUACGGCAGAGGGGGAUGGAAUUCCGCGUGUAGCAGUGAAAUGCGUAUAUAUGCGGAGGAACACCGAUGGCGAAGGCAAUCCCCUGGGCCUGUACUGACGCUCAUGCACGAAAGCGUGUGGAGCAAACAGGAUUAGAUACCCCCGUAGUCCCUGUCUCUUAUAC